RNAcentral lists this ribosomal RNA (253 nucleotides) under uncultured bacterium. RNAcentral describes it as "partial 16S ribosomal RNA". It matches the Rfam family "Bacterial small subunit ribosomal RNA", at positions 524 to 776 of the family's 1533-position model. The record is from RNAcentral.
UACGUAGGGUGCAAGCGUUGUCCGGAAUUAUUGGGCGUAAAGAGCUCGUAGGCGGUCUGUCACGUCGGCUGUGAAAACCCGAGGCUCAACCUCGAGAUGUCGGCGGAAACCGUAUGGCUAGAGUCCGGAAGAGGAGAGUGGAAUUCCCGGUGUAGCGGUGAAAUGCGCAGAUAUCGGGAAGAACACCCGUGGCGAAGGCGGCUCUCUGGGACGGUACUGACGCUGAGACGCGAAAGCGUGGGGAGCGAACAGG